Bombyx mori (domestic silkworm) is the source of this 84-nucleotide non-coding RNA. NCBI's taxonomy places the organism in Eukaryota, Metazoa, Arthropoda, Insecta, Lepidoptera, Bombycidae. The record is from Rfam.
UUAACUCAAAUUUAUAUGGAGUUGGAACCUUAGCCUACAUUCGCCGCUAGGGGCGCUGUCCCAACUGCAUACAAAUUUGAGUGA